UUCUUUCCCUCUCCCUGAGCUAGACCACGAGCAACUACAGCUCCCCAUUUUGGUUCUUAUCCCCCGAUCAGGGACAUUCUUUCCCUUUCCCAAUUAUGGUUAUGCUCUCCCUGAUCUAGGUUUUCUACACAGAAGAGUUUCAUCAACCUCUCCCCGGCCGAUCUAGGUCAAGAAGACACUGUUGGUGGAGUUCUUCGAUUUCACAGGGACAUAUUUGACAAGGGACCAGAAGCAGCCUUCAUGUUGUACUUCACUAGUUGAUUGGAUGGGGGCAAGGAUUGUUGUUGCAAUAUUGUGGCCUUUGCAUGUGUUGGGAACAAAACUAGUCUAUAGUAAAAUUCACUCUGCUAUUGGAAUAUCAAAGACUUGCAGUUUGUAACUCGGUCAUUGUCUCACUGAGGUUAGUGAGGAGAAGCUCUCAGAAGCAGAGGCCACAAGCCCACAAUUUCAUUGAGAAACGAUGAAAAAAAAAUAAAGGUAAAUACUUCAUUAAAUAUUUAAAUUUUGCUAUUUUGAUAAUUGUAUCAGCAUUAUUCUCAUAAUUGUAGUUGACGCGAGAGAUUUGGGCUUGUUCGAGAUGUCUACGUUCCCAAGCAUUACUACACUGGGGUGAUUACGUAAAUUCAAUGAGAGCAGCACAGGAGUUCAGCUCAAGAAUGUUUGAUUCCAUAAAGAUGGUUUCAACAAUGAAGAAGUCGAUCUUUGAUGAACAAACUAACAAGGCCUUAAGGAAAUUGCAAAAGAAUGCUCAAAAGAAGAAUAAGCAUCAUGAUGUGGUUCGAGCUGAAUGGGCAAAUCAUGUUAUACAGUUCUAACUUUGGUUCUUUUUAAGGUAGAUGAGUAGCACUUGGAACUGCUUUUGUGCUUUAUAUAUAACUGAUGGAAAGUGUUGAUGAACUUAAAUUAUGCAUGCAGUUGCUCUGUCUAGCUACUCUUUCUUUACCUUAUAGGUUUUUGACUUGGUGCACUAGGUAAAUGAUAAGAUGGUUUUUUGGUUCUCUCGAUCAUAAUGUAACUGUUGGCUAGGUUUAGAGUUGGAACUAUGGAUUGUAUUUUGGAUGAUGUUGAUGCAAUUAAUGAAACGUAGCCAUCAUUUUCAAUGCUGAUUUUAGUCCAAUUUUAUGGUUUUGAUGAUUGUAAAUGACUGAUGUUGAAAUGGUUGAAAGGCAACAGA
Molecule: long non-coding RNA, 1174 nt
Organism: Rosa rugosa (rugosa rose)
Lineage: Eukaryota; Viridiplantae; Streptophyta; Magnoliopsida; Rosales; Rosaceae
Exons: 5
Source: RefSeq, a predicted model, not a curated record